GCAGUUGGUGGACCUGGUCGCGCUGUGCCGGGUGUGACACUACGGAGAGCAGAUUACAUUAUCAAAAGCACCAAGUUGAAACAUUUGCAAGGUGAGGAAACUGAGCACUAAGACACUAAAUAACUUGCCCAGGGUCAUACGACAGACAUGAGAGGUUUAUAUCAGGCAGUCUCCACCCCUGUUCCGAAGUCAAGAGGCUGACUCGGGUUGCUACUUCUUGACAGACCGGACCCCAGAUCGCCGAAGACCAUUUGGACACACUUCUAUCAAAUCCUGGCGGUCUCCUUCUAACAGGGAGUGGGAUGCUGCUCUAAUGAUACCCCGAAAUGUGGAAGUGACCUUGAAACUGUUUAACAGGCAGAGGUUGGAACUGUUUGGAGGGCUCAGAAGAAGACAGGAAGAUGUGGGAACGUUUGGAACUUCCUAGAGACUUGUUGAAUGGCUUUGACCAAAAUACUGAUAGUCAUAUGAACAAUGAAGUACAGGCUGAGGUGUUUUCAGAUGGAAAUGAGGAACUUGUUGGAAACUGGAAUAAGCAUGACUCCUGCUAUGCUUUAGCAAAGAGACUGGUGAUAUUUUGCUGUUGCCGUACAGAUCUAUGGAACAUUGAACUUGAAAGAGAUGAUUUAGGGUAUCUGGCAGAAAAAAUUUCUAAGCAGCAAUGUGUUCAAGAUGUGAUAUGGGUGCUCUUAAAAGCAUUCAGUUUUAUGCAUUCACAAGGAGAUGGUUUGGAAUUGGAACUUAUGUUUAAAUGGAAAUCAGAGCAUAAAAGUUCAGAAAAUUUGCAGCCUUACAAUGUAAUAGAAAAGAGAAAUCCAUUUUCUGAGGAGAAAUUCCAACCUGCUUCUUGCAUAAGUAACCAUUGGCCAAAUGUUAAUCACCAAGACAAUGAGGAAAAUGUCUCCAGCUCAUGUCAGAGGUCCUCAUGGCAGCCCCUCCCAUCACAGGCCUUGAGGCCCAGGGGGAGAAAAUGGUUUCUUGGGCUGGGCCAAGGGCCUUGCUACUUUGUGCAAUCUUGGAACUUGCUGCCCUGCAUCCCAGCUAUGGCUAAAAGGGGCCAACAUACAGCUCAGACCAUUGCUUCAGAGGCUGCAAACCCCAAGCCUUGGAAGCUUACACGUGAUGUUGGGUCUGUGGAUGCACAGAAGUCAAGAACUAAGGUUUGGGAACAUCCACCUAUAUUUCAGAGGAUGUACAGAAAUGACUGGAUGU
RNAcentral lists this long non-coding RNA (1212 nucleotides) under Homo sapiens (human). RNAcentral's name for it is "non-protein coding lnc-USP53-6:10". Lineage: Eukaryota; Metazoa; Chordata; Mammalia; Primates; Hominidae. The record is from RNAcentral.